AGAUAACAGCAGGACAAGGGGAAAUGGUUUUAAGUUGAAAACUUAAGUUUUUAAGUUGAGGGAGGGCAGAUUUUGGAUUUUCCCUCGUAGUCUUUGCUAAACCGUGGAAGCAAACUGACCUGCUCUUUCUCUCUCCUCUCUCCACCCUCUGCCUGCUUCCCUGCUGCAGCUUUUGCUCGUGGAGGAUCAGAGCAAAGUGACAAGGAGCGGCUGCGGAUUCGUGAGAUUUCUCUCCCUCGUUCUGAUCUCUUGCCAGUUCCAGCUUGUCACACCUACGCUGAUGGCUGUGGCGUGCAGCGAGAUCAGCUGUGGGCCUGACCUGGCAUGGACAGAGGUAGAG
Molecule: non-coding RNA, 340 nt
Organism: Phasianus colchicus (ring-necked pheasant)
Lineage: Eukaryota; Metazoa; Chordata; Aves; Galliformes; Phasianidae
Source: RefSeq, a predicted model, not a curated record